Molecule: non-coding RNA, 2328 nt
Organism: Sus scrofa (pig)
Lineage: Eukaryota; Metazoa; Chordata; Mammalia; Artiodactyla; Suidae
Source: RefSeq, a predicted model, not a curated record
AUUUUAUUUUCAUACCUAUUAAUUUUUAAAAAGUUUAUUUCAAAAGCUUGCUGUGCUAUUUUUUUUUUUUAGUUUUAGUUUUAACUUCUUUUUUUUUUUUAAAGUUUAUUUCAAGUAGGAUUAUUUACCAAAAGAAAGGACAAACAUUAAUCUCAAGGCAUUUCCGCAUGUUUGUGGAAAAUUCCAUUUAGAGCUGGUUCCAUCAAUUUCAAAAAGGACAGCAUGGAAGAUUCCUUGAGCCCUUUUCCCCUUCUGUCACUAAAUUGCCAAGCAGAGCUCUAGAAGGUAACGGCAUGUGAAAUUACAAGCAAGGCCGAGCAUAUCAUUCCUAUCUGUGUUUGAACCCAACACUGAAGAGACAAAAUUAGAACCAACCAAAGAUCAGUGACCUUUACCCAAAUUGCUCAACAAGGUAAUAACUCUCCAGAUCAGACCAGGAACUGGACUGGACCGUUGAUCUUAGAGACCUGAUGUGAAGUACACAGGGUGUGCAUUUGGAAGGAAGGCGACAUAUUCAUUGUGCAAAUUAACUGCAAUGAAAGAUAGGCAAGUGACACGCAACAAAUUUCAAUAUAUACAUUUAGAGGUUUAUCCACUAAGAAAUGUGCAGGAUUUAUGUGAAGAGAAUUUUACUGACCAGAAUCAAAGAACUGGAUGGAUAGACAAAAUAAGAUCUUAUUUGGAAAGGAUGAAUGUUUAAAAAAUGUUAUUCUCCCAAACUUAUUUUUUUUUUAUUUUCCCACUGUACAGCAAGGGGAUCAAGUUAUCCUUACAUGUAUACAUUACAAUUACUUUUUUCCCCACCCUUUGUUCUGUUGCAACUUGAGUAUCUAGACAAAGUUCUCAACUUUGGCGAGUUUUAGCAAAAUUUCCCAUUAAAAUUUCAAGGGGGUUUUUGUUUCUGUCAUGGAGUAAGAUCCAACUGAUCCCAGCUCUAGAUUCUGGACAAAAAUCAAACAGAACUAGGGAGUGAACCAAAAGCAGACAAUUCUGGAGGGAUAUAAAAUUUGGAAGAAGAAACCAGCCAGAGGUAAUUUCCUAUUUUUUUUUUUUCACACUUUCUAUCUUGAGGGCAGGACAAAGACAAUUUCAACCCACAGUCUUUCUAGCUUGAGGAGCCAGCAGACAGUCUAGGCAACCAUAGUAGCUACUGGGAAGGAGGAAUCUCAGAAGAGAUUCAAGAGGGUGCACCCCAGGUUCUGUGUUUAAACUGUCCAGGUCCUUGACUGACCCCUGAACCACACAUACAUGCAUGGGGCAGACAACACAGAGCAGCUCAAGAGAGAAGAACUGGACCAAGAUUUGAUCUGUCGCCCAAGAGAAUAUGCAGUUUGAAACCAACCAGAUCUAUUGAUUUGCUGAGACAAAGGGACCAAUAUUCUCUAGAGGAACAUUCCAGAUCCAGAGGUGCUACCACAUCAUACUAAUAUAUGCAAGAUCCAGUUGGAAUUGUGCAACAUAGGAAGGGCCAGAGUAAUCUGACCCAGAUUUGGAGAAAAGACUAACAGCCAAGACCAACUCCACAGUGACCAAGAUGUGGGAAUUAACCAGGGACCUUAAAGCACCUGCUAUAAUAAUGCUCACUGAGGUAAAUGCUAAAUGGAGAGGAUGCCAAAUGGAAAUCCAGAUCUUCAGGAGGCAAUACAGAAACUCUGAAAUGAAAUUUGCUUACACAUGUACAGGCCGAAGCUAAUCAGAUCAAAGGGUAUGCAUUCAUUGGAAAGGAAAGAAGACAUUAAAAAUAAGGCUGCCUUAGUGCUACACCAUAUUCAUAACAUAAAGAUGAAAAAAAAUGGCAAGGGCUAGGAAAAGCGCUAAUAAAAAUGUGGGCCAGCAACAUCAGCAUCACCUUGGAGCAUGGUAAACAUUCCAGGAUUGAGGCCCAGGAAUAUUUGCUUUAACAAGCUCUCCAGGAUUUAAAAUCAUUAUUGAUACUACAUGAACUUGUUCUUGGGGAAGUCAGAUGUCACAGAAGAGGUCCUGCUAUACCGAGACAACACAUUGGGGAGGGAUCCAGAGAGAGAGCCUCAGCUCAGUGCCCAGCCAACAUCCAGCCUCCAGUGCAACCACCCACGACUUGGAGCCACGAGAGUGGAUGAAAUAGUAAGACAGCAGUGGAAGAGGAAAAUACUGCCCGGAACCAAGCUCUGAGGAAGACAGACAAUCAAGGUAGAGGAACAAGAGGAGAAAUCUGAGAAAUGUCCCAGAGAACAGGAGCAAAAGCAGCCUAUCUGAAGUCUCCAGUGAUUACCGUACAGCCAAGAAAGAUUCUCUGUGUAUCAAGGUAUCUCCAGGUAUUUUUUGUCUUGAAAUUUUUCUUUCUCUUAA